UAGCCAGUCACAGCUGUCGGAGCUUGGCGAAGUGCAAACAGGAGAGGAGACCCCUGAUAUGCCCUUGGGAGCCCAGCCUCCCUCUUUGUUAUCACCGGCUGAAUGGCUGCUCAGAAUUAGAAAGCGGCCAUGAAGAACUAAAGAGAACUUUCUGCAUGAGGUCAUGAUGCACUCUGUGGCCAAAAAACAAGAAUUAAAGGAGUGGCCGGACAGCGAGAAGAGGGACAGAAAGGAGAAUGCGGUGCGCCAGAAGGAAGUCAUGGAGCGGCUCUUAAAUGUUAGGGAGCGCCAAGCGGACUCGCUCCUGGUGCUACUAGCACUGCAAACCGAGCAGCUCCGCGCCCGCCCACUCCUGCAGCCACUGUCGCAAAACUCUUUCCAAUGCACCCCCCUGACACCACCAACACACUCUUAGCAACCUCCUGGCUCCAGUCUGUACCCGCUGCAUUCCACUCCUGCCCCAUCACAGUCCAGCUCUGCGGAUGCCCAGUACCCAGUGCACUCAACACCUCUCCCUCUGUAGUUUAGCCCUGCUGAAGUACCGUACCCACUGCUCUGUACUCCAAAGGAUAAGGUUGCAUAUGAUACCUGGACAUACACAAAUCUUUAAGCGUCCCUGGACCC
Long non-coding RNA from Chelonia mydas (Green sea turtle), 624 nucleotides. RefSeq lists it as uncharacterized. The transcript is spliced from 2 exons. Lineage: Eukaryota; Metazoa; Chordata; Testudines; Cheloniidae. The record is from RefSeq and is a predicted model, not a curated record.